Molecule: ribosomal RNA, 233 nt
Filed under: uncultured bacterium
Lineage: Bacteria
Description: partial 16S ribosomal RNA
Rfam family: Bacterial small subunit ribosomal RNA
Source: RNAcentral
CGGGACGGGUGAGUAAUGUCUGGGAAACUGCCCGAUGGAGGGGGAUAACUACUGGAAACGGUAGCUAAUACCGCAUAAUGUCUGCGGACCAAAGCGGGGGACCUCCGGGCCUCGCGCCAUCAGAUGAACCCAUAUGGGAUUAGCUUGUAGGCAAGGUAACGGCUUACCUAGGCGACGAUCCCUAGCUGGUCUGAGAGGAUGAUCAGCCACACUGGGACUGAGACACGGCCCAG